CGGAGAUGAAGCCGAGGCUCGAGACAGAGGCUCCUUAACCGCCUCUACUUCGACUUCGCCAGGCUUCUCCUGGAGCUAGACUACGUUUUCGUCUAGCUUUCACGGGUUCCAUUGGCUUCAAAUGUUAUGCUUUAUUACAUAGAAAGUAGCAACAAACUCGAAAUCAACAUUAGAGCCCGGAUAUACUAUUGUUGACGGUGGUGCCUCGAACUCAGGGAGUUCCGGCUCGAUGUUUCUCGAGCCGUUCUUCGGCUCGUCAUCUUCCGACGCCGCCGGUUCCGGUUGUUUCUCGACCGGCUUCUUUCCCACCGGACGCCGUUCCUGGUCCGGACCCAGUGGCUCCAGCUCCUGUCGGACUUCCCGCAGAUGAACCUUGCCCUGCGGGAGGUCCUCCUGUUCUUCUUUCGCCAACAACUAAAGCUCUUCGACUAUAACUGCGUGCGGCUCCAGGUCAGGGUUCGGGCCCGGCUGGCACUCCACGAAGUCGUUCACUCCGUUUAGCGGCGGCUCCGGAAGCGUCUAGACGGAGCUUCACGUAACCUGCGGCUGGCAGUGAUGCGGUGGGUUCUACCCGUAUACGGUGCCUCUCCCGCAAGACCGUCGUUAAGGUCCGCGGCAGCGUAAGCGGUGACUAGUUACUAGUUUACUUCGUCAACUACGUCGAGAUAGCGUACCGCUUUUGCCGGUACCUCCUGGAAACACAAGUAGACACCGGACACCUCGGCGACGGUUGGUCAAAGAAGCCGGACAACCGGGCUGGAAUUCUGUAGCCUGGGGCUCGAGAAACAACCUUUACUAGGCGCACGGACCUUCCACGGGUUUACCGCAUGCGGAGGCACUUCUGGGUGAUGGGAGCGUAACUGCGCUCCGACCACCGAAGCCCCGGCGGCCUCCCCUUCUGAGUCUGCAGCCUCCUCAAAAACCGACUUUACUACCUUCCGUGCGCCUAUUGGCUCGGUGCGACACCGGUCUUGUGAAACAUAAAAAUCGAACAUGAAACCUUACGGCUUCAAAAUUACUACAUUUCCCUUGUUCGAAAACCCAAUUCAAAUUUACUCAAGCCGAAAUUCAAGGCUACACG
RNAcentral lists this ribosomal RNA (1081 nucleotides) under Triticum aestivum (bread wheat). Its description in RNAcentral is "partial small subunit ribosomal RNA". Lineage: Eukaryota; Viridiplantae; Streptophyta; Magnoliopsida; Poales; Poaceae. The record is from RNAcentral.